UGGGGAAUUUUGGACAAUGGGGGAAACCCUGAUCCAGCCAUCCCGCGUGUGCGAUGAAGGCCUUCGGGUUGUAAAGCACUUUUGGCAGGAAAGAAACGUCAUGGGUUAAUACCCCGUGAAACUGACGGUACCUGCAGAAUAAGCACCGGCUAACUACGUGC
Molecule: ribosomal RNA, 161 nt
Filed under: uncultured bacterium
Lineage: Bacteria
Description: partial 16S ribosomal RNA
Rfam family: Bacterial small subunit ribosomal RNA
Source: RNAcentral